RNAcentral lists this ribosomal RNA (461 nucleotides) under uncultured bacterium. Its description in RNAcentral is "partial 16S ribosomal RNA". It matches the Rfam family "Bacterial small subunit ribosomal RNA", at positions 338 to 795 of the family's 1533-position model. The record is from RNAcentral.
CCUACGGGAGGCAGCAGUGAGGAAUAUUGGUCAAUGGGCUUACGCCUGAACCAGCCAAGUCACGUGAGGGAAGACUGCCCUAUGGGUUGUAAACCUCUUUUGUCAGGGAGCAACGCCGGCUACGUGUAGCCGGACUGAGAGUACCUGAAGAAAAAGCAUCGGCUAACUCCGUGCCAGCAGCCGCGGUACUCCGGAGGAUGCGAGCGUUAUCCGGAUUUACUGGGUGUAAAGGGCGUGUAGGCGGGACUGCAAGUCAGAUGUGAAAACCACGGGCUCAACCUGUGGCCUGCAUUUGAAACUGUAGUUCUUGAGUACUGGAGAGGCAGACGGAAUUCCGAGUGUAGCGGUGAAAUGCGUAGAUAUUAGGAGGAACACCAGUGGCGAAGGCGGUCUGCUGGACAGCAACUGACGCUGAGGCGCGAAAGCGUGGGGAGCAAACAGGAUUAGAUACCCGAGUAGUC